UGGGGAAUUUUGGACAAUGGACGCAAGUCUGAUCCAGCCAUGCCGCGUGAGUGAAGAAGGCCUUCGGGUUGUAAAGCUCUUUUGUCCGGGAGCAAACCUUCAUGGCUAAUAUCCAUGGAGCUGAGAGUACCGGAAGAAUAAGCACCGGCUAACUACGUGCCAGCAGCCGCGGUAAUACGUAGGGUGCAAGCGUUAAUCGGAAUUACUGGGCGUAAAGCGUGCGCAGGUGGUUGUGUAAGCUUGAUGUGAAAUCCCCGGGCUUAACCUGGGAAUGGCAUUGAGGACUGCACGGCUAGAGUGUGGCAGAGGGGGGUGGAAUUCCGCGUGUAGCAGUGAAAUGCGUAGAGAUGCGGAGGAACACCGAUGGCGAAGGCAGCCCCCUGGGCUAACACUGACACUCAUGCACGAAAGCGUGGGGAGCAAACAGG
Molecule: ribosomal RNA, 428 nt
Filed under: uncultured bacterium
Lineage: Bacteria
Description: bacterial SSU rRNA
Rfam family: Bacterial small subunit ribosomal RNA
Source: RNAcentral